Oryza brachyantha (malo sina) is the source of this 2275-nucleotide RNA transcript. It is a transcript of the gene named zinc finger-containing ubiquitin peptidase 1, with no coding region annotated. The transcript is spliced from 9 exons. The record is from RefSeq and is a predicted model, not a curated record. NCBI's taxonomy places the organism in Eukaryota, Viridiplantae, Streptophyta, Magnoliopsida, Poales, Poaceae.
CGCCCUAAUCCAGUCCGACCGUCCGCCGCCGCCUCCUCGCCGGCAGGGCAGCAGCCACCGCCGCGUCGUCUCCCCAACCCCGUCCUUUCCUUCCUUCUCCUCCUCCGCCUCGUCUACUGCAUCAGCAACUCGUGGAGUGGAGGAGAUGAUCUCAGCUUGCCCCAUCUGCAACGUCCAGGUCCUUACGGCGGAGCUCCAAUGGCAUGCGAACACCCACUUUGAGGAUGACCAACUCCAAACCGACUUGGAGCUGGCUCAGCAAAUCGCCCUCACUGAAUCCACGCCAAAUCCUCCCAUGGACGGUCCUCAACAAAGUGAUCCAUUCGCUAGCGACGCUCAUGCUCAAGGGGCCUCAUCAAGCGUCAGCGGAUGCUCAUCUCGUCACACAAGUGUUUUGGAUGAGCAAAUAUCUUGCUUGCUCCGAACGCAAAUUAGAAGCAAAUUACAGGAAAUACAAGGUGGUGUUAUGAACCUGCUGAGAGCCUGCCUGGAAUCAGAAGCUGGUUCAUCGACAAGUAUAAUAUCAGGACACGUUGAUCAUUAUCAGAGUCUUUCAUCAGAAGACAAGGGGUGGGGAUGUGGGUGGAGAAAUAUCCAGAUGAUGAGCUCUCAUUUGCUGAAGCAAAGACCAGAAGCAAGGGAGGCUUUGUUUGGUGGUGCUGGAUUUGUUCCUGACAUCCCUUCCCUUCAGAGGUGGCUUGAGAUUGCUUGGGAUAACAACUUUGAUACUCUAGGCUCAACCCAUUUUCAUAAUGAAGUUUAUGGUGCCAAGAAGUGGAUUGGGACUACAGAAUGUGCUGCCCUUCUCCGCUCUUUUGGUUUGCGCGCAAGGAUUGUAGAUUUUGAUAGCACAGAAUCAUCAGACCUCCACAGUAAGAAUGGUAAACAUGUACCAAAACAAGUACGAGGGCCAAUGGACAAAUUCGUGACAAAGAAUGUUUCUCCAAGAUCUUCAUCUUCUGAACUUUGUCGAGAGGAUGCAGAAAACAUGAGAGGCCAGCAGGUUCUUGUUGACUGGAUCUGGAACUACUUUGGUAGCAAGCAUUCUGAUAAGUUGGAAAAUUCAAGGCGUGUGCUUGUGAGUGAUAAAAUCCCAUUGUAUUUCCAACAUCAAGGUCAUUCCAGAACCAUAGUUGGGAUCCAAAGGCAAAAUGGUCAACAUGGGUCUCCAGACAGAUUUACGCUUUUGAUUUUAGACCCUGGCCAUAGAACAUCAGAUUUGGAGAGGGCUCUUCGAAGCAAGACAGGAUGGCAACGUCUGUUGAAAAGAGGUGUCCACACUCUCAGGAAGCCACAGUAUCAGUUGUGCUAUGUGGAUCCUGGAAUUGCUAGUUCAGAAGAAAUGGAGCAGCUCAAAAUUAUUGAUAGUAUCCUGGUCAGGUUCUAGAUUGCUGAAUGGAGGAGAUGGGGAUUACAUACACUACAUAGUGCAGACUUGGGAUGAUUUCCCUUGGAGAAAUAUGGACAGUCGAUACAUUGCUGUGCUCUCCAUUUGGUUAUAUAAUGAUUGUCUAAAUUAAUCCUUCUAAUCAAGUGGCAUGGUAAAAAUAUUAGAAAAACAGCAACAAGAGUGGAAUUUUGAUGGUGUGCCAGUAUAUGUAAGAAGUAUAAAUGCAAGAGUCAAUGAACUCUAUGAAGACAAUUCAUCGAGCAUAUGCCUUCUUGGAGACCCUCACAAGUCACAGCCAUUUCAACUGGUGUGUGACAAUUUUUGUAGUGCAUAUAAUUCGGAAAUCUGAGGUUGCUUUUAGUUACAAGAUCAGGCUCCAGUUGCAAAUCUAAAGGCGAUCGGCCCCAAUGGAUUGUCCGAAACUGGUCAGUCAUCUGAUCCUUGACAAGAUCUGUAGUUAUCGUUUCAGUUAGAAUGUAUGUCGUCUUGGGAAUAUCCUUAGCAAUAGCUCAUUUAGGUGAAACAUAAUACUUGAGCGUGAGUUGGGCCAGGCAGUAAUAUCUCCAUUUAUUCUUUCAGUCUUUUUGCAGUACGCUUACCCAAUCUCUUUUUUAACCUCUCCCCUGAGGACUCAUUUCCCCUGUGACGGUGGGAGAACAUUCAGAUCUCACCAAGAUUGGUUAAUAGAACUGCACAAUUUGUACUGACAUCUGUCAAUUUUGGCAAAAUUGAGCAUCUCAGAGUGAACUUUGUUAUUGCCAUUGUUUGUGUUGACGUUUUCUUGCCUCAGCAACUUGAUCAGUUUUCGCUGUAAUGGAUGAACACUUCAGUUAGCCGAUUUGGAAUAUUUUUUGACAGUGGCACACAGUUUAGAAUGCAGAACUG